Molecule: non-coding RNA, 74 nt
Organism: Megalops atlanticus (tarpon)
Lineage: Eukaryota; Metazoa; Chordata; Actinopteri; Elopiformes; Megalopidae
Source: the annotation of a GenBank genome assembly
GCAGCAGUGCAGCAUAGUGGUAAGGAGCAGGGCUUUUAACUGAAAGGUUGUCGGUUCGAUUCCCUCCUGGGGCA